GACUCCUUCAUUACGCAGAAGGCUGGGGAACACUUUCUCUGUUCUAGAUAUUAAUAAAAUACAGCUUUUGUGGUCCCAAUAGGAGAUAAAAUGAUAGAGGUCUGCGAUUAGCACCAAGGUAGGGAUGAGGGAGUGAUGUAAACGCUGCCUGGCCGGCAGCUUGCCGAGGAGAUCAGUUUCUGACUGACAAUAGCAGGAGUUCAGAUUCAGGAGGUUCAUAGAAGAUAGUGUGGAGGAUGCUGGUAGCUCUAGGAUCAAGAACUGCCACGGGCCAGUUACGAGGCGAUUACCUGGGAAACCCGGAAGGCCCUCGUGGAGGAUUCUGGGGAGCCGACGUUGCGGCUCCUGAAGCGCAUGCGCCAGGAUUCCCGCCCCCGACACAGCAGCGGUGCCAUCCUGACUAUGCUGCGUGUAGAUCCUUAUCUUGGGUUUCCAGCCUGGGUGGCCGGAGGCGCUGUUCCAGCAGCGUGUUUGUUCUGCAGUUGUGUGUUAUUACUUCAGUGCAUCGCCCAGAGGAAACUCAGGCAAAGUCCAUAACUUACUAUACUGUAGUACGAUCACCAAAAGGAGCGUCUCAUGCCUGGAGAACCCCUACUCAACAGCCAAGGUAAUUCCCAUAUCCAUGUACGUCUGUAGGGAAUGUCUGUAGACUUGGGUAGCUAUAUAUCUAUUUAUUCAUCCAUCCAGCCAUCCAUCCAAUCUAAUCUAAUCCGUCCGUCCAUUUUAUCUAUCAGUGCAUGUAUCCAUCUGUCCUGUCUGUUUAUAUCUGUCUAUAAAAACCAUAUCCACGGUUUUCUUUAUCAUUGACAGUAUUUAUAGAAUUCCACAUUCAAGAUAUACAAAAUCCCUACCUACUAAGGAGGGAAGGAAUUAUGGAAUCAUCUGCAGGUAGAAUAUGAUUUAUAGAAACAAAGCCCAGGAUGGCCCUCCCAGAGACAGAGCUGCAGGUAACCUGGCCAUACUCAGGGGCCUGGUCUUCCGAGGAGAAACUCAACAAGGGCCCAGGUGGUGAAUUCUGACUAGUAUCAUGGAAUUAAUGAAAAUAUACUGUUUAUGGUAAGUGAUUUUUAAACUUUAUUGUUAACAUCAUCCCCUUUUCCACAUCAGUAACA
RNAcentral lists this long non-coding RNA (1112 nucleotides) under Capra hircus (goat). RNAcentral's name for it is "lncRNA (ENSCHIG00000004463.1)". Lineage: Eukaryota; Metazoa; Chordata; Mammalia; Artiodactyla; Bovidae. The record is from RNAcentral.